Molecule: ribosomal RNA, 465 nt
Filed under: uncultured bacterium
Lineage: Bacteria
Description: partial 16S ribosomal RNA
Rfam family: Bacterial small subunit ribosomal RNA
Source: RNAcentral
GACGAACGCUGGCGGCGUGCUUAACACAUGCAAGUCGAACGGAAAGGCCCCUUUGGGGGUACUCGAGUGGCGAACGGGUGGGUAACACGUGCGUAACCUGCCCUUGACUUCGGGAUAACUUCAGGAAACUGGGGCUAAUACCGGAUAGGAAUCCUUGCUGCAUGGUGGGGGUUGGAAAGCUUCGGCGGUUUUGGAUGGACUCGCGGCUUAUCAGCUUGUUGGUGGGGUAGUGGCUUACCAAGGCUUUGACGGGUAGCCGGCCUGAGAGGGCGACCGGCCACAUUGGGACUGAGAUACGGCCCAGACUCCUACGGGAGGCAGCAGUGGGGAAUAUUGCACAAUGGGCGGAAGCCUGAUGCAGCAACGCCGCGGGCGGGAUGACGGCCUUCGGGUUGUAAACCGCUUUCAGCAGGGGCGAAGCUUGUGGUGACGGUACCUGCAGAAGAAGCACCGGCUAACUACGUG